UACGUAGGGUCCGAGCGUUGUCCGGAAUUAUUGGGCGUAAAGGGCUCGUAGGCGGUUUGUCGCGUCGGGAGUGAAAACUCAGGGCUUAACCCUGAGCGUGCUUCCGAUACGGGCAGACUAGAGGGAUGCAGGGGAGAACGGAAUUCCUGGUGUAGCGGUGGAAUGCGCAGAUAUCAGGAGGAACACCGGUGGCGAAGGCGGUUCUCUGGGCAUUACCUGACGCUGAGGAGCGAAAGCAUGGGGAGCGAACAGGAUUAGAUACCCCAGUAGU
This 271-nucleotide ribosomal RNA is filed under the name uncultured bacterium. RNAcentral describes it as "partial 16S ribosomal RNA". It matches the Rfam family "Bacterial small subunit ribosomal RNA", at positions 524 to 794 of the family's 1533-position model. The record is from RNAcentral.